CAGUCGCCGCGGUAAUACGAAGGGUGCAAGCGUUAAUCGGAAUUACUGGGCGUAAAGCGUGCGUAGGCGGUGAGUUAAGUCUGCUGUGAAAUCCCCGGGCUCAACCUGGGAAUGGCAGUGGAUACUGGCUCGCUAGAGUGUGUCAGAGGAUGGUGAAAUUCCCGGUGUAGCGGUGAAAUGCGUAGAGAUCGGGAGGAACAUCAGUGGCGAAGGCGGCCAUCUGGGACAACACUGACGCUGAGGCACGAAAGCGUGGGGAGCAAACAGGAUUAGAUACCCCGGUAGUCCCUGUCUCUUAUAC
RNAcentral lists this ribosomal RNA (301 nucleotides) under uncultured bacterium. RNAcentral's name for it is "partial 16S ribosomal RNA". It matches the Rfam family "Bacterial small subunit ribosomal RNA", at positions 509 to 807 of the family's 1533-position model. The record is from RNAcentral.